This 403-nucleotide ribosomal RNA is filed under the name bacterium. RNAcentral describes it as "partial 16S ribosomal RNA". It matches the Rfam family "Bacterial small subunit ribosomal RNA", at positions 355 to 776 of the family's 1533-position model. The record is from RNAcentral.
UGGGGAAUAUUGCACAAUGGGGAAAACCCUGAUGCAGCGACGCCGCGUGAACGAAGAAGGUAUUCGUAUCGUAAAGUUCUGUCCUAUGGGAAGAUAAUGACAGUACCAUAGAAGAAAGCUCCGGCUAAAUACGUGCCAGCAGCCGCGGUAAUACGUAUGGAGCGAGCGUUGUCCGGAAUUAUUGGGCGUAAAGGGUACGCAGGCGGUUUAAUAAGUCGAAUGUUAAAGAUCGGGGCUCAACCCCGUAAAGCAUUGGAAACUGAUAAACUUGAGUAGUGGAGAGGAAAGUGGAAUUCCUAGUGUAGGGGUGAAAUACGUAGAUAUUAGGGGGAAUAACAGUAGCGAAGGCGACUUUCUGGACACGAACUGACGCUGAGGUACGAAAGCGUGGGGAGCAAACAGG